UUCAGGAGCCAUGGGCCGCCGGCUCAUCCGUGGUCUGUCUGGAGCCACUGUUUUCCUUGUCAGCAUGGCUCUUCUUUCUGUGAGGCACCAUGGAGCUCAAGAAACAGCCAGAUACCUUGGGCUUGGAAAAGAGAUGUUGGAGAAUUCAGAGCAACAGGCCAAAGUGAGCCUACAGGAUGUUACGGGAGGUGGUGGCAGGAGGCAGAAGGACCUGCAAGCCAAUCCUCAGGAUGAAUACAGGACUGGGGGAGUUCUGAAGUUUGGGGACAUUUUCAUAGCUGUGAAGACAACCAAGAGAUUUCACCAGAGCAGGAUGGAGCUGCUCCUGGACACAUGGAUAUCCCGGGCAAGAGAGCAAACAUACGUCUUCACUGAUGAAGAAGACGAAGCCCUGAAAAGGAGAAUGGGUGACCAUGUGGUGUUCACCAACUGCUCUUCUGAGCAUAGCCAUCUUGCCCUCUCGUGCAAGAUGGCUGCAGAGUUUGACGCAUUUCUGGCCAGCGGCCAGAGCUGGUUUUGCCACUUGGAUGAUGACAACUAUUUGAACCCUCAGGCCCUCCUGAAGCUCUUGUCCUCCUACUCUGCAGCGUGGGAUGUCUAUCUAGGGAAACCCAGCCUGAACCGACCCAUCCGUGCCUCUGAAACGCUGCCUAACAAUAAGACGAAGUCUGUGCGUUUCUGGUUUGCCACGGGAGGUGCUGGGUUCUGCAUUAGUCGCAGGCUGGCAAGCAAGAUGGCACCUUGGGCCAGCGGCAGGAACUUCCUGAGCACCUCAGAACUCAUCCGCUUGCCUGAUGACUGCACCAUGGGUUACAUCAUUGAGUGCAAAGUCGGUGGACAGCUGCUGUUCAACUCACUCUUCCACUCCCACCUGGAGAACCUGCAGCUCAUCCCCUCAACUCAGCUCACACAGCAGGUCACCCUCAGCUAUGGUGUCUUUGAGAACAAGCUCAAUGUUAUUGAACUCAGUGGUCCCUUCUCGCCCCAGGAGGAUCCCUCCAGGUUUCGAUCACUUCACUGCCGCCUCUAUCCGGAUACCUCCUGGUGCUUGCAGCCUGUUGGCUGGUGAUAUUUUAAGCCUCAGCAAGUCUCCUGGUGAUCUCUGUUCACCUUGUGCUUUUAGAGGAUGGGACACUGAAUAAGCUUGGUGCUCUCAACUUCCCCCUUGCAAUGAUGGCUUUGGGGCUGUGUGAUGGCUUUUUAAGUCUUUGAUGAGUACUGGUGACACAAGACAAGAGAAAUCUGUGCCAAAGAUGAAUAACAUGGGAUCAACACAUGCAUAUGGCUUUCCCUCUCUGCUGGGAUGCUUACAAGGAACAGAAGCAGUAUACCUUCUUGAACAAAGCAAGGGUUGAGCAUCUGGAUAGAGAUGGGGGCCUGUUGCCCCUUGCUGUGGAUUUACCUUGCUGAACUAGAAACGCCCUGAGUAGGGGUACCCAGUAACUGACUGAGGGUUGUUGAUAGUGUGUCUUUGUCUGAGCAGGCCAGCUUGCUUCCUCCACACCUGCCUGUGCGUACCCCAUUGCCAACUCUUACCAGCGACAUUCCCUUGGCUGAGAGAGUGCUUAAUCAAGGUCUGAUUCUGAUCACCCUACAUGGAAAGAGAAUGUGGCCAUUUCUGUGCUGAAAUAGUGCUGGAAAAGCACUCCCCUGUAAAGGAGAGAUGAGCAGGAAGUAGAAAAGAAUCAGGAAUCCCCCUCUGAUCUGACAAGCGGGGGGAAUGGGAUGGGAGAAAAGAGGCAGAGAGGAAGAUGGUUUCUACACUGAACGUUGAAGGCUUGCUCUUUUAUGGCCCUGCAUUAUUCCUCUCUCUUCUUACCUUCCUGAUAUGGGGUCAGGAUAAUCUUUUGCUCUAAUUACCAAUCUGCCAUUGGAGAUUAGAUUCCAACUCCUACCUGUGUGAGAAGAGACAUAAAGGAUUAGAAUUGGCUGAAAAAGAGGAGAAAAGAAGAGAUGGAGAAGGAGUGCUCAGGAGCGGAUUAGAGGUUAUAGUUUUAUAAUCUUCCCUGUGCCCCUGACCAAAAAAAUUAAAUCUUGAAGGAAUGGAGACAGCCUCUUGCGAAAGAUGCAACCUUCAGAAGACUAGCAGUUUAUUAAACAGAAG
RNA transcript from Rhea pennata, 2104 nucleotides. It is a transcript of the gene named MFNG O-fucosylpeptide 3-beta-N-acetylglucosaminyltransferase, with no coding region annotated. The transcript has 9 exons. NCBI's taxonomy places the organism in Eukaryota, Metazoa, Chordata, Aves, Rheiformes, Rheidae. The record is from RefSeq and is a predicted model, not a curated record.